CCUACAGCAGCUGGAGAGGUGAUGUUGUACAAGGACCAGCACAGUCACCCUAGGGCAGUGCCAGCAGCCGAGAUCCUGGGUAUACAAUCAGGAGAGCAGUGAACCAUCAAAACCAGAGGAGGCUUUUACACUACCAUCUGAAAGGGCAAUGAGCAAGGGCAAGCCCUUGUUUUCCUGAAGUCAAGCAGGCUGGGAACUGGUGUCUCCUGCACUGGUAGCAGAGCACUGAAUUUUGGGCAGCUACAGAACUCAAAAAGACAUGCCAGCAGUAGAUGAAGAGGAUUUGGAAGCUCUCCGGAGGUGUGGAGGAGGGAAGAGAAGGUUUAAGGUGGACCGAAGGGAUUUGCACCCUCCUCCUUCUGCGCUGCCCACACUCAUGUCUCUGCAGCCCUUCCCUUGGUUCCCCGCAACACUUUGCAACACUCUUCCACUAAGGAGAUGCAUAAGGAAAGAACAGGCUGCUGCAGAGGAUAAUCAAGCAUCUAAGGGAUGUCAGAUGAAUUGUCUGCUAGAGGUUCAUGUUUCACUUCUUUAGUCAUGCCCACAGACUUUAGAUUUACAAUUUUCUCGUAUCUUGCAUAAAGUGGGACGAAUCCCACUUAGGCUGCAGCAACACGUGGCGCAGGCAGAGCGGACAGCAGUCAUUUUUUCAAACUUCCUUUUGGGAUCAAAUCACAAAUCAAAACAAUUUACAAACCUCCGUUUAUCCUCUUUUU
Molecule: long non-coding RNA, 716 nt
Organism: Pezoporus occidentalis (night parrot)
Lineage: Eukaryota; Metazoa; Chordata; Aves; Psittaciformes; Psittacidae
Exons: 4
Source: RefSeq, a predicted model, not a curated record